UACGAGGGGGGCAAGCGUUGUCCGGAUUCAUUGGGCCUAAAGCAUCCGUAGCCGACUCUGUUAGUUUUCGGUUAAAUCUAUGUGCUCAACGCAUGGGCUGCCGAAAAUACUGCAGAGCUAGGGAGUGGGAGAGGUAGACGGUACUCGGUAGGAAGGGGUAAAAUCCUUUGAUCUAUUGAUGACCACCUGUGGCGAAGGCGGUCUACCAGAACACGUUCGACGGUGAGGGAUGAAAGCUGGGGGAGCAAACCGG
Molecule: ribosomal RNA, 253 nt
Filed under: uncultured archaeon
Lineage: Archaea
Description: partial 16S ribosomal RNA
Rfam family: Bacterial small subunit ribosomal RNA
Source: RNAcentral